AACGAACGCUGGCGGCAUGCCUAACACAUGCAAGUCGAACGAGACCUUCGGGUCUAUUGGCGCACGGGUGCGUAACGCGUGGGAACCUACCCUUAGGUUCGGAAUAACUCCCCUAAGGGGGUCCUAAUGCCGGAUAGUGUCUUCGGACCAAGGAUUUAUCGCCUUUGGGUGGGCCCGCGUUGGAUUAGCUAGUUGGUAGUGUAAAAGCCUAGCAAGGCGACGAUCCAUAGCUGGUCGGAGAGGAGGAUCAGCCACACUGGGAAUGAGACACGGCCCAGACUCCGACGGGAGGCAGCAGUGGGGAAUAUUGGACGAGGGGGGAAAGCGCGACAACGCCACGUGGGGGGAGUGAUGCAGGGCUUAGGGUUGUAAAGCUCCUUUACACGGGAUGAUAAUGACAGUACCGGGAGAAUAAGCACCGGCUAACUACGUG
RNAcentral lists this ribosomal RNA (433 nucleotides) under uncultured bacterium. RNAcentral's name for it is "partial 16S ribosomal RNA". It matches the Rfam family "Bacterial small subunit ribosomal RNA", at positions 29 to 507 of the family's 1533-position model. The record is from RNAcentral.